RNAcentral lists this ribosomal RNA (466 nucleotides) under uncultured bacterium. RNAcentral's name for it is "partial 16S ribosomal RNA". It matches the Rfam family "Bacterial small subunit ribosomal RNA", at positions 28 to 507 of the family's 1533-position model. The record is from RNAcentral.
GAUGAACGCUGGCGGCGUGCUUAACACAUGCAAGUCGAACGAUGAAGCCCAGCUUGCUGGGUGGAUUAGUGGCGAACGGGUGAGUAACACGUGAGUAACCUGCCCUUAACUCUGGGAUAAGCCUGGUAAACUGGGUCUAAUACCGGAUAGGAGCGCCUACCGCAUGGUGGGUGUUGGAACGAUUUAUCGGUUUUGGAUGGACUCGCGGCCUAUCCGCUUGUUGGUGGGGUAAUGGCUCACCAAGGCGACGACGGGUAGCCGGCCUGAGAGGGUGACCGGCCACACUGGGACUGAGACACGGCCCAGACUCCUACGGGAGGCAGCAGUGGGGAAUAUUGCACAAUGGGCGAAAGCCUGAUGCAGCGACGCCGCGUGAGGGAUGACGGCCUUCGGGUUGUAAACCUCUUUCAGUAGGGAAGAAGCGAAAGUGACGGUACCUGCAGAAGAAGCACCGGCUAACUACGUG